GGCUCCUUCUCUCCCUCGUCCACUUUCCUCCAAUCCAUGGCGACCGCCGCUCUUCCUAAAUCCGGAGGCCUACGAGGACUCGCCUCGUAGGGCUCCAGUCUCUGAAGAGGAGGAGAAAAUUAGGGGGCUUUAUCUCCGAUCCAAAGGAUUCCCAAGUGGAAAAUCCGGUGGAGGGAAUGAAGACCGCGGCUGCGAGGAUCAGAGCUUCCAUUUCUAUGUCAUAUCGAGUAAUGAAGCCCUUUUCCUCCCACUCCUUCACUAAUAUUGCUCCAUAGCCUCCCCCCUCUCUCUCUCCGUGGAGUUGUGGCUUACUCUUGUUUUUUCGAGCAUUUUUUGGGGAAAAAUUUCAUUUGGUAUGGCAUGCCCAUCGAUGAAUUUGCUUAAUAUGGCGGUCUAUCAUUCUCUUUAUUGUUCUAUUUGGUUCCAGUUUGUUUUAAAUUUCCAGAAACUUAAUGCUUAGAAUAAUACGUUUGAUGGUCUCCAUGUCCAUCAAGUCCCCUUUUUUAUUUUUAUAAUUUGAUAGCCGUGUUAUUUUUUUCCCUAAAAUCCAUAAAUUCUAAUGAUAGUCUGAAGGAGUAACGAAUGAAGUGCAAUUUGUGUAUUGGUGUAAAUUUAUGUAGUUAAUAUUUAGCAAACCUGAGUGUAUUAGUUGCCAUUUAGAUUUUAGCCAACUGGUGACAUACUAAAAGUGCCUUUUUUAAAAUUGUUGUUCUACUAAAUACAUUUUAAUUGAGACAGGAAAGUCAAUUGAUAGGUGGGAUGAUCUAGAUCAUUUAUUAGUCUAAUCACAAAAAUUUUAUUAGAUGCGUGGUUGGGAUAGGUGCUUAUCUAGCCAUUCAUGGCCUUCAAGCAAUCCAAAUUGCCUCAAAGCAUUCUUAUCAUGCGAUCCUUGUUAACUACAACAUGGGGUUUCAACAAUGUGAGUGGACCUAUUGUUUAGAAGUAACUACUUUUGGAAAUUUUGGACUCCCUGCACCAUUUUGUCAAAGUUAAAAAGAAAUGUGCUUUGUGUUAACCAAAUGAUACUACAUAGAGUUCCAGAGUGCCCAUUAUAGCAGCACCUGAUCACAUAGUGCAAAUCAUGGUAUUCUAGCUGUCUUAUUAAUUUGAAGAUUAACUUGAGAGGACUCCUACAAUUGGUAAGGUACAGUAUUGUAUGUAGCCCCUACACUAUUGGUUGACUAUGACUUAGUUAAAGAAGACAAAGAGAUUGCCCUGUAAAUGUUUUUCCAAAUUGUGAAAGUUUUUCAUGCUACCAUUCUUUAUAUUUCUUGGUUUCUUGGCAAUAUUUCCCACAAAACUAGAACACCAAUUAAAUGAUAUUCCAUUUAGCAAUUAACAACAUCACAGAUGUCUGUUGAUCUGUCCUAUGAAGAAAAAAUCAUGUGGUUAUAUUUCUGUCACAUAUGUUAAGACAUCGCCUCCAUAUUAAGAUUAACAAGUGUGCAGCAUGAGCUGCAAAACAGAAAGACCAACAUAUUUAGCAAAAUAUCAAGACAAUCAUUUAAUAGCAUAGAAUGAAGUAGAUGAACAAAACUACUAAGAUAGCAUAUUAAUACCUUAAUAAAAUGGCACCCUAGCCUGCACCUUUAUGUGUCUGAACAUAUUUUUACACCUUAGGCAUGGUUUGAUUACCAGAUGCUUUUCAUGGCUGCGCUCCCUUUUGAUGUUUAAUCUUUUCCUUCUCCUGCAUCUGCACUGUCAAAUUUUUCUUGGUUUCCUGCAAAUCAAAGGAGAAAAAGAAGAAACUCAGGAAAACAAGGUGUGAUCAUAUUUAAAUUAUUCAUAUGCAUGCGGCUAAAUUACCAGCUAAAAAAAACUUCUUAUUCAAAUUACCAGAAAGAAAGGAAUUGUUAUUCUUAGUAAGAUAAAUAUAGUUUUCGUCAAAAAGAUAUACCAUCUGAAGUAGGUCUUAUCUCUACAAAAAGUUUGUCUGCAUCAAAGUGUUAAAUAUCUACAUGAUAAAUUUUAUAUUGAGACAUGGUUUGCUUAUAUCUUUUAUAAUAAAUAAGUAGGUUUCGGUUGCCAUAUUAUUUUUAGAUACUCUAGAUAGCACAUAGCAUAACCAUGGCCGAUGAUGAGACCAGUAAUUUUGGUGGAGAGAUGUUUGAUGCAUUUUUGCAAUUUGUUUGAAGGCAAAGGUUCAGGCUUAAGCAAGUUGGAGAGGCAAGCUGGGUGAUCUUAUUAGUGAGAGAAGCAUAUGCAGGUCAUAUCCUAAAUGUGCGCAUGUCCUCUGCAAGCCUCCACCUUGGUGAUCUCUUCUGCAUGUUAACCAGAUCACAUUACAUGUCUGAUGUUUGUAUUCAGUGUCACCAUAACUCCCAAUACAUGAUUUUGUGGUGGUAAAUUUGCAUUUGUUGUCUCACCAGGUAACUCUCCACUGGUACAUUAGUCAGCCAGAAACUCCCAUCUCCUCUUAUAGCCAGGAUAACUUUCAAGUUUUUGUUUGCACUCGAAAGUUGUCUGGCGUACUAUCACUUUAAAAAUAGGUAGUCGAAUCAUUUGAACUUCAAGGCAGGCAUAUAGUCUGCCUAUAGUAUUUAAUAGAUAUGAUGCUAGACGUACAACACAAUGUCCAGCAGACUGUUCGGGUAUGAGUCUUUUAAAAACAAACUAGUUACUUCCUCCAGGAAGUUAUUUUAAUAUUUUGGGUUCGUUAUGUCUGAUUAUACAAAAUCAUUCAGCAAAUUUGUUUGGUGCAGCCAAGUUUUAACUGGUAGCACUACCACCCUGGGAUCUGUUGUUUCCUCAUGGUGAGAGUUAAUUGAGGCUAUUAAAUCAAUGACUCAUAUAGUGGAAUUGCUCAUCAGCAGUAUCAGUGUUCGGUCAUAUAUUCUUCAUGCUUUGUUGUGCACCUUGUUUUUGGAAGUUCAAAAAUUCCUUUGUUUUGCAAUCAUAAAUGGUUGAAGUUGUUACCUGCCAUUGUUUGUAAUAUGUCAAGUGUCCUCCAUUACUUAGACAUGAGGUUUGGCCUUUUCUUUCGCUCAAAUUCGCAGCAUCUCAGUGUAAGACAGAGAACCUGCUCAGCCUGCAGAAAUAGCCAAUGCCCGGAGGACUCAUCGAAGGUUUGGUGCACCACCCUCCUAUCAUAUGCCUCCUUCACCUGCUCCACAAUAUUCAACUCUGGCAGUCCUGCCAACAGCUGAAGGACUAUGAUCCAAAAAGAAUAGACAUCAGACUCGGGAAUCAGCUGCUCAGUGUUGAGGAAAACAGGGUCCAUGUAUCCAAAUUUUCUCCCUGGGUUUGUCUCAUGGCAGAUUGUUGCUUCCUGUGAUAGGUCCUGAUGUAUCAGCCGAGCAGUACCAAAAUCUCGAAGCUGGAUGAUGUCAUUAGCAUCGAAGAGUAUAUUUCCAAAUUUUAUAUCUACAUGAAUUAUGGCAUCAAGCUUGCUGGAGUGAAGGCAGAUGAGGGCAGAACGCUGCUCAUUGAUGACACAGAAGCAGUCCUGCGAUGAGAGUCCACAGGCAAGCCUUUCGCUGAGGUUACUAUUCUAAAUUCAGAAUCAAUUCAAACGCGACUCAAUCCCGAAUCAAUUCUGAAUAAUAGUGAAUUGGGUUGUUUGUUUGGUUUGGUUCAGCCUGCCUGUUAUGUUUGGUUUCCACCUGCUAUUGAAGAAUUGACUCAUUUUAAUUUAUGAGCUAACUUUGGAUCAUAAGAGACCCAAUCCAGAGCCUGAACUGAAGUGCAUGCUCCCAUGAAUGUCCUUCCAAUCUGGAAGAAUAUGGUAGCCUUGCUGCCUCACUUCUGGAACCGAUUCAAAUAUAAACUAGGCAAUGGGAAGAUGCUUGGUUGUCUGACUGUUCUUUGGACUCCCUAUUUCUAAACUUUUAUUCAGCUGGUAAGAAAAGAUGGACCUCAGUGGAAUCGGAUUGGAACAGAAGGUUUGAAUAGAGAAUUCACUCUAGCUUUGUUAGCAGUGAGUCUGAUGCAAAUAAUUGCGGCCGGUAUGAGGGCCAAGGAAACAUGGUGGACCUGGAGGCCACUAAUGAGUUCAAUUUAGAGAUGCUACUGCACUAGGACCUAUGAUCAUUCUAAGAUGUAUAAAUAUGAAUUACCUCAAAAAAAGAUAUGUGAAUAUGAAA
This 4082-nucleotide long non-coding RNA is filed under the name Phoenix dactylifera (date palm). Its description in RNAcentral is "long non-coding RNA (PDAC_LNC001375)". Lineage: Eukaryota; Viridiplantae; Streptophyta; Magnoliopsida; Arecales; Arecaceae. The record is from RNAcentral.